Molecule: unclassified non-coding RNA, 95 nt
Organism: Cavia porcellus (domestic guinea pig)
Lineage: Eukaryota; Metazoa; Chordata; Mammalia; Rodentia; Caviidae
Rfam family: Y RNA
About the family: Y RNAs are components of the Ro ribonucleoprotein particle (Ro RNP), in association with Ro60 and La proteins. The Y RNAs and Ro60 and La proteins are well conserved, but the function of the Ro RNP is not known.
Source: Ensembl
AGCUGGUCCGAUGGCAGUGGGUUAUCAGAACUUAUUAACAUCAGUGUCACUAAAGUUGGUAUACCAUCCCCCACUGCUAAAUUUGACUGCUUAAA